RNAcentral lists this long non-coding RNA (213 nucleotides) under Pan troglodytes (chimpanzee). Its description in RNAcentral is "long non-coding RNA NONPTRT013230". The record is from RNAcentral. Lineage: Eukaryota; Metazoa; Chordata; Mammalia; Primates; Hominidae.
GGAAUUCUUUCUUUUCAGCUGCUUCCUACUCUGUUGCUUACAUUCACUCCGCACGUUUCCUGCAGAUUAACCUUCACUUCAAAAAUGUAAGUGAUUACAUGCACUUCUUUUUCCCAAAAUUAACUACCAUACACUCCGUAUUCAUCAUUCAAGGGGGUAUCGUAUUUUUUAUUAAUACAUUUGAAAUAAAUCCAAACACCUGUCUUGCAUUUU